RNAcentral lists this ribosomal RNA (473 nucleotides) under uncultured bacterium. RNAcentral's name for it is "bacterial SSU rRNA". It matches the Rfam family "Bacterial small subunit ribosomal RNA", at positions 917 to 1382 of the family's 1533-position model. The record is from RNAcentral.
GGGCUCACACAAGCGGUGGAGGAUGUGGCUUAAUUCGAGGCUACGCGAAGAACCUUAUCCUAGGCUUGACAUGCACGGAUUAACCUCGUGAAAACGAGGCCACGCCCGCAAGGGUGGAACGUGCACAGGUGCUGCAUGGCUGUCGUCAGCUCGUGUCGUGAGAUGUCGGGUUAAGUCCCUUAACGAGCGAAACCCUUGUCACUAGUUGCCAGCGCGUCAUGGCGGGGACUCUAGUGAGACUGCCGGUGUUAAACCGGAGGAAGGCGGGGAUGACGUCAAGUCCUCAUGGCCUUUAUGCCUAGGGCUGCACACGUCCUACAAUGGUGCGUACAAAGGGAAGCAAACCUGCGAGGGUGAGCAAAUCCCAAAAAACGUACCCCAGUUCGGAUUGCAGGCUGAAACCCGUCUGCAUGAAGCCGGAAUCGCUAGUAAUCGCGGGUCAGAAUACCGCGGUGAAUGUGUUCCUGAGCCUU